GACGAACGCUGGCGGCGUGCUUAACACAUGCAAGUCGAACGGAAGGGCCCUGCUUUUGUGGGGUGCUCGAGUGGCGAACGGGUGAGUAACACGUGAGUAACCUGCCCUUGACUUUGGGAUAACUUCAGGAAACUGGGGCUAAUACCGGAUAGGAGCUCCUGCUGCAUGGUGGGGGUUGGAAAGUUUCGGCGGUUGGGGAUGGACUCGCGGCUUAUCAGCUUGUUGGUGGGGUAGUGGCUUACCAAGGCUUUGACGGGUAGCCGGCCUGAGAGGGUGACCGGCCACAUUGGGACUGAGAUACGGCCCAGACUCCUACGGGAGGCAGCAGUGGGGAAUAUUGCACAAUGGGCGGAAGCCUGAUGCAGCAACGCCGCGUGCGGGAUGACGGCCUUCGGGUUGUAAACCGCUUUCGCCGGUGACGAAGCGUGAGUGACGGUAAUGGGUAAAGAAGCACCGGCUAACUACGUG
Molecule: ribosomal RNA, 468 nt
Filed under: uncultured bacterium
Lineage: Bacteria
Description: partial 16S ribosomal RNA
Rfam family: Bacterial small subunit ribosomal RNA
Source: RNAcentral